This is a long non-coding RNA of Bos taurus (domestic cattle), 1047 nucleotides long. NCBI's taxonomy places the organism in Eukaryota, Metazoa, Chordata, Mammalia, Artiodactyla, Bovidae. The record is from Ensembl.
GUUAGGGUAGAAGGAGCCUUGAAUAAGAAGUCAGGCAACCUCAGUUCCAGUCCUGGCUGUGUAAAACAGUAACCAACAACAUUCAAGAUGGCAGCCGCUUCCUGCGGACUGCAGGGAACAGAGCUCCCUGCUGUUGAUUGACGUGUACUGGAGGUAAGCCACCAAGUGUUCAUUUGUGCCACAACUAGUGAAGCCCUCACGCUUUAGAGCCCAUACUCCACAACAAGAGGAGCCACCACCAUGAGAAUCCUGCUCGCUGCAACUAGAGAAUGCCCUCGCACAGAAGUGAAGACCCAGAGCGAUCAUAAAUAAAUGAAUAAAUAGUUAAAAUGGUAAAUUAAAAAUCCAAGAGUGGAGCUGCAGCUGGCUCCUGAACAAAACCAGAACUUUAGUCCUUAGGAACCCACAUGAUCUCUUCUGUUCUCCGCUGUGCUUCCUGGUGUGUUUGCUUCAUUCUGUCUUACUCCAGUUCAGCUUUCUCUGUUUCCCAGACCAUGUGGUAGAAGAUGGCUUCUGCUGCUGUUACCCAUGUAUGUUGGAGUAACGUCAAGGAAAAUCCCCAGGUUUCUGGAUGCUAGAGGUAUUGCUGGAACAGAGAACACUGGAUGAUGACAAAGUUUGGAGAGGAUGAUAAUGAGUUUAGUUUUAGACAAAUCAAGGUUGAGAUACUUGUGGAAGAUGCGUGUGGAGAGGCCCAGUUGGGUCUGUGGAUCCAGAGCACAGCUGUCAUGAGUGACAGUUUAUGUCUGGAAGCCCAAAGAGAGCAGGGGAGGGCAGAGGGCUGAUAAGUGUGAGGUGCAGGCCAAGGAGACCGAGAAGCAGUCUAGGCAGAGACGUAGCACAGGACCCAAAAUGAGGCAAUACGCCGAUCUCAUUCACUCUUCUGGCUGCAUAGCAAAAUAGGGAGGUUUAUUUUACAGAUGAAAAAACUGGCUUGGGAGGCUGAGUGACUUCUAUGAGGUCAUGCACUUAGGGGCAGAGUCAGUCCCUGGCUCCUAAGCUGGGUCUUUCCGCUCUUGCACAGCUGUCUCUGAAGGGUGAGCAGGG